Molecule: long non-coding RNA, 1017 nt
Organism: Arachis stenosperma
Lineage: Eukaryota; Viridiplantae; Streptophyta; Magnoliopsida; Fabales; Fabaceae
Exons: 3
Source: RefSeq, a predicted model, not a curated record
AAAAAAGUGCGGGUUCUUUGAUGAUAAGGCUUGUGGGUCUGUUCUACUUGGUGGUGAGUUUGUUGAGCUUCACUGGAGUGAAUGCUAUGCAUGGAAGGGAAAGUAGUGGACAUGAAGCAGUGAAAGGAAUGAUACAUGGGAAAUCUCACAUUGGAAGGAUUGAUGAUGAUUUUGUCUGUGCAACUCUUGAUUGGUGGCGUCCUCAGAAAUGUGACUAUGGAACAUUUAGCUGAGGUCAUGCUUUUCUUCUCAACCUGGUAUUCUUUCUUUGCUUCUGCAGAUCAAUAUGCUUCGGAUAUUGCUGCUUUAAGAAACAUAAUCAUGAUGUAUAUAGAGGGAUUAGGCAUAAGCCACUGGUCAUUGCUCCAGGUAGCUUCUAUAAACAAAUUGGUUCCAGGAAUUUGUAAACAAAUCUGGUAAACCUGUUGAUGUGGUAUCUCAUCACACAUAUAUAACCUCGGACCAGGAGUUGAUGAGCACCUAAUUGAAAAAAUUCUUGAACCAUCAUAUCUUGACGAGUGGCUAGCACAUUCAGUGGCCUCAAAAACAUACUUCAAAAAUCAGCAACCAGAGCAAAAGCAUGGGUUGGUGAGGCAGGAGAGGCUUACAACAGUCGCCACCAUCUUGUGUCUGAUGCAUUUGUCUACAGCUUCUGGUAUUUGGAUCAGCUUGGAAUGUCGGCUGUUUAUGACACCAGAACAUACUGCAGACAGAGUUUGGUUGGAGGAAACUAUGGUUUACUAAACACUACUACUUUUGUGUCAAAUCCAGAUUAUUAUAGAUACCAAAUAUUAAAUUUCAUAGUUGAAGGAGGACCAGCAUAUUAUUGUGGACUAUUUUCAUUUUAGCUUUCAAGUGUCAUUCUCUUCAGAAAAAUAUUGUGUGCUAAUUAUACAACCUUGCACAUACCUUUCUACCAUUGGUUGAGGGUGUAGACUUAUCAUAUGCAGAUCACACAUUCUAUCCAAUGGUGAAAAGAUGCAUUGUUUAGAUAUAUAAAAUAAAAAUGAGUACAAA